AUUUGUUACUAUUCUUUCUUCUUUUCAAAUUGUAGCCUGUCUAAUAAAUGAGUAAUGGUACCUCACUAGGGCUCCAGUCUGUAUUUUCCUAAUGACUAAAAAUGUUCAGCAUAUUUUCAUGUCUUCUCAGGCUUGGGUAUAUUGUUGGUAAACUCUUUGCUCCAGUCUUUUGCCCAUUUAAAGAAAAAAGUGUUGUUUUCUUAUUGUGUUUCAGGAGUUCUGUAUACAGGAUUCACAUCUAUGUUUUGCAAAUAUUUUCUUGCAAUUCAUGGCUUGUCAUUUCAUUUUCUUCAUAGCAUCUUCCAAAGAGCAGGAGUCCUUAGUGUUGCUGUUUUUCCAGCACUGGGGAUUGAGACCGGGUGCCGGACCACUGCGCUUCUUCCCCAGCAUUCCUUGUUGUUCACUCUUAAUGGAACCUCAUGUCCUGUGUGAGGAACAGUUUCAUUGCUUUCUUCCCCAUCUGUGUGUCUUUAUUGGUUUUUCUUUGAGCUUUGACUAGGAAUGAUAGGAGUGGGCAUCUCUGCCAUGGGAUUCCUUUAGUAUGGCAAUCACUUAACUAAAGGCUCUUUCAGGAAGACUGGUGGGCAGCAUCAGUGGGGGAGGGGAAGCUGAAGACCCCGAGACAGCUGAACAGACAGAGGAGCCUGUCUGCUCAUCACCUCCCAUCCUUUUAGUCACCAGCCCACCACUGCCAUAUGUGGUUCCCUCCCACCUGUGACUCCUGUGCUUGGCCCUUAUUCCUCAGCCCUGUGGUCUGCCUGUCUUCUCCUCUCUCCAGCUUCUAGUAUCACCAUUGAGUUUGCCUGGCAGAUUUUACCCUUCCCCCAUCCUGUGGUUCUUCCAGCCCCAGGUCCGGCCAUACGCCAUUGCCCUUUCUCAUCUGCUCAGAGUGAGGCCCUCCAAGUCAAGGGUCCCCAAGUCUCAAGGAACCUAAAUGCAGUCUGCACUCUGGGAUUCUUCAGACAGGGCUCCUUUCCAUUACCGCAGCACCUAUUUCAGGCACUGAUCCCAUGCUCCAACUUUUACUCCUACCAUACUCCAUUCCAUUACUACAACUCCUCCUGGAGUCACUUGUUUGGUGGUUGGUGGCAAAGAGUCUGGUGAAGACCACAUAAGUUCAACUCCCAGCUGUAGAACUGACCAGCAGGGAGACCUUGGGUAUGCUACUUAGCCCCUGGUCACUCAAUUUCCCUAGGUGUAAAACAGGGAAUUGUGGGUUAAUUCAUGUAAACCACAUAGAACAGUGGCUGGUACCAAGAAGUGCCCUAUGUGCUGCUGUUACUAUUACUACCAUUCCUUCCCAUGGUCAUCUACACAUGUCUGUGCCUCUUCUUAAAAGCCAUACAAAUCCCACCCUUAGCACCCCAGGCCUCCACUCCACCUGUUAUACCUUCUGGGCCUUAUUUCCUGAAAGAGUUGACCUUGUUCACUAGCUCACCCUUCACUUCCUUGCCCAGGUCUGCCCAGCCCUUGCUGUCAGGAUGAUGCUCUCAUUAAUGGCCAAAGCCAGCAGACAUCUUCAGACUACUCUUUCAGGAUUGGACACAGCCUCUGAAACCAGAAGUAGCUGUCUCAGCUCUUAACUCUCUGGGCUUCUCCUCUUCACGUGCCUGGGUGCUGUGAGCUGGGUUGCCUAGAUGGUUCCCAUGAUACCCUCUCUAUGCUCUACCCUGUCCACUCCCCAUGGUGCUCAGGGCCAUGUGUUGCAGCUGCCCUCACCACUGAAAGUAGGCUGGCCAUGCUGUUUGCAGGGUGCUUUCCAUCCCCAGUGCAGUGACUGGGUUUUAUUUUUUGCUACUUGGUAAUGAACCCUGGGGCACUUUACCACUGAGCUACAUCCCCAGUCCCUGCUACAUUUUAUUGUAAAUCAGGGUCUCGCCAAUUUGCUGAGGCUGGUCUCAAACCUGCCUCAGUGUCCCAAUUCACUGGGAUUACAGGUGUGUGCCACCAUGCCUGGUUGGACAGAAGCAUUUUUGAUGCCCUGAAAUAUUUCUGAUGGGGGUGCAUCUCAGUGGUAGAGUGUGUGCUUAGCAUGUGCAAGGCCCUGAAUUCUUCAAUCACCAGCACACAAAGAGAAGACAUCUGAAUCAAUGAGUGAAGCCACAAACAGAAGAAUCAACAUUUGGGGAUAGAAGGAAAGAGAGAAAGGAACAGAGAGAAGCCUGGUGCCCUGAUCCCCCAGGAUAAGGGGAGAAGGAAAGGCAGCAGGAAGUUGGUCAGAUGAUGGGGCAAGAAGAAGAUGCUGCUGGAUUUUGGUCCUGUGGAGUGUGAGGGUGUUUGAGACACACAAUUGGAGCAAGAGCCCCAGGUGUGGAGCCAGUGGGAGAGGCUGGUCUGGGUGCCUCAGAGCUGUUGGAUUCCAGUUGUGUGUGAUAGUGUUCCAUGUUGGGAGAGGAAGGUAUUCA
RNAcentral lists this long non-coding RNA (2405 nucleotides) under Marmota monax (woodchuck). The record is from RNAcentral. Lineage: Eukaryota; Metazoa; Chordata; Mammalia; Rodentia; Sciuridae.